Non-coding RNA from Pelobates cultripes (western spadefoot toad), 285 nucleotides. The record is from the annotation of a GenBank genome assembly. NCBI's taxonomy places the organism in Eukaryota, Metazoa, Chordata, Amphibia, Anura, Pelobatidae.
GGGAUGGGGUGACUAGUGACAGAGUGAGGAAGGGGGUGACUAGGGACAGAGGGGGUGAUUAGUGACAGAGUGAGUGAGGGGGUGACACAGUGACAGAGUUAGGGAGGGAGUGACUAGUGACAGAGAGAGGGAUGGGGUGACUAGUGACAGUCACCCCCUCCCUCCCUCUGUCACUAGUCACUCCCUCCCUCUGUCACUAGUCAUUCCCUCCCUCUGUCACCAGUCAUUCCCUCCCUCUGUCACCAGUCAUCCCCUCACUCUGUCACUGGUCACCUCUUCCCUCCC